CGGGUGAGUAACGCGUAAAGAACUUGCCUCAUAGUCUGGGACAACAUUUGGAAACGGAUGCUAAUACCGGAUAUUAUGCUUUCUUCGCAUGGAGGAAGUAUGAAAGCUAUAUGCGCUAUGAGAGAGCUUUGCGUCCCAUUAGCUAGUUGGUGAGGUAACGGCCCACCAAGGCGAUGAUGGGUAGCCGGCCUGAGAGGGUGAACGGCCACAAGGGGACUGAGACACGGCCCUUACUCCUACGGGAGGCAGCAGC
Molecule: ribosomal RNA, 253 nt
Filed under: uncultured Fusobacterium sp.
Lineage: Bacteria; Fusobacteriati; Fusobacteriota; Fusobacteriia; Fusobacteriales; Fusobacteriaceae
Description: partial 16S ribosomal RNA
Rfam family: Bacterial small subunit ribosomal RNA
Source: RNAcentral